AAAAAGAAAUACCACCCUCGUUGUAAAGCGGGUCCGGAAAGCCGACGGGUCUCUUUUUUGUAUCGAGAUGGCCGGGUUGCCUCC
Molecule: non-coding RNA, 84 nt
Filed under: Nitrosomonas marina
Lineage: Bacteria; Pseudomonadati; Pseudomonadota; Betaproteobacteria; Nitrosomonadales; Nitrosomonadaceae
Description: GEMM cis-regulatory element
Rfam family: c-di-GMP-I riboswitch aptamer
About the family: GEMM was predicted in a large-scale screen for bacterial structured RNA regulatory elements. Genes associated with GEMM are involved in a diverse array of functions, including chemotaxis regulation, signal transduction, secretion and chitin.
Source: RNAcentral